Fukomys damarensis (Damara mole-rat) is the source of this 320-nucleotide unclassified non-coding RNA. Its record names the gene 7SK. It matches the Rfam family "7SK RNA". Rfam says of the family: 7SK was discovered as an abundant small nuclear RNA in the mid-70s but a possible function has only recently been suggested. Two independent studies have found that 7SK RNA binds the CDK9/cyclin T complex (known as elongation factor P-TEFb). P-TEFb activates transcription by phosphorylating the C-terminal domain of RNA polymerase II. Lineage: Eukaryota; Metazoa; Chordata; Mammalia; Rodentia; Bathyergidae. The record is from Ensembl.
GGAUGUAAGGGCAACCUGGCCACAACAUCUGCCACCCCAUUAUUCACCAGGGUUGAUUUGGCUGAUCUGGCUAGCUAGGCAGGUGUCUUCUCACUCACCACUCCAUGUGUGUCCCUCCGGAAGCUGCGUGCUCGGUUGAAGAGGAGGACCACCCAGGAUAGAGGAGGACCGUUUCCUUGGUCAAGGGUAUAUGAGUAGCUUCGCUCCCCUACUGGAACCUCCAAACAAGCUCUCAAGAAUAAGUGAGAGUAUAUAAGCACAGUGAGAUAUUAUGAAGCCCAGAAUGAGGGCUGAGUGGAUACAAUCCAUGCCAUAGUCUC